RNAcentral lists this ribosomal RNA (403 nucleotides) under uncultured bacterium. RNAcentral's name for it is "partial 16S ribosomal RNA". It matches the Rfam family "Bacterial small subunit ribosomal RNA", at positions 30 to 526 of the family's 1533-position model. The record is from RNAcentral.
AUUGAACGCUGGCGGCAGGCCUAACACAUGCAAGUCGAGCGAGCGUCGGACGGGUGAGUAAUGUAUGGGGACUGCCCGAUAGAGGGGGAUAACUACUGGAAACGGUAGCUAAUACCGCAUACUAUCGGAUAACCCAUAUGGGAUUAGCUAGUAUGUGAGGUAAUGGCUAACCUAGGCGACGAUCCCUACCUGGUCUGAGAGGGUGAUCAGCCAAACUGGGACUGAGACACGGCCCAGAAUCCUACGGAGGCAGCAGUGGGGAAUAUUGCACAAUGGGAGCAAGCCUGAUGCAGCCAUACCGCGUGUAUGAAGAAGGCCCUAGGGUUGUAAAGUACUUUCAGUCGGGAGGCGUUACCGACAGAAGAAGCACCGGCUAACUCCGUGCCAGCAGCCGCGGUAAUAC